RNAcentral lists this long non-coding RNA (248 nucleotides) under Mytilus galloprovincialis (Mediterranean mussel). The record is from RNAcentral. Lineage: Eukaryota; Metazoa; Mollusca; Bivalvia; Mytilida; Mytilidae.
CCCUAGUAAUGAUUGUGACCAAGUUUGGUUAAAUUUGGUCCAUAGUUUUAGAAAAGAAGAUUUUUGUACAAGUUACAAAAAUGACAAAAAGUUGUUCAAUAUUGACUAUAAAGGACAAUUACUCCUUAAGGGGUUCUGACAAUUUUGGUCAUGUUGACUUAUUUGUAGAUCUUACUUUGCUGAACAUUAUUGCUGUUUACAGUUUAUCUCUAUCUAUAAUAGUAUUCAAGAUAAUAACCAAAAACUGC